Molecule: ribosomal RNA, 1146 nt
Filed under: Arthrobacter sp.
Lineage: Bacteria; Bacillati; Actinomycetota; Actinomycetes; Micrococcales; Micrococcaceae
Description: bacterial SSU rRNA
Rfam family: Bacterial small subunit ribosomal RNA
Source: RNAcentral
CAUGCAGUCGAACGAUGAACCGGUGCUUGCAUCGGGGAUUAGUGGCGAACGGGUGAGUAACACGUGAGUAACCUGCCCUUGACUCUGGGAUAAGCCUGGGAAACUGGGUCUAAUACCGGAUAUGACCUUCCAUCGCAUGGUGGUUGGUGGAAAGCUUUUGUGGUUUUGGAUGGACUCGCGGCCUAUCAGCUUGUUGGUGGGGUAAUGGCCUACCAAGGCGACGACGGGUAGCCGGCCUGAGAGGGUGACCGGCCACACUGGGACUGAGACACGGCCCAGACUCCUACGGGAGGCAGCAGUGGGGAAUAUUGCACAAUGGGCGCAAGCCUGAUGCAGCGACGCCGCGUGAGGGAUGACGGCCUUCGGGUUGUAAACCUCUUUCAGUAGGGAAGAAGCGUAAGUGACGGUACCUGCAGAAGAAGCGCCGGCUAACUACGUGCCAGCAGCCGCGGUAAUACGUAGGGCGCAAGCGUUAUCCGGAAUUAUUGGGCGUAAAGAGCUCGUAGGCGGUUUGUCGCGUCUGCCGUGAAAGUCCGGGGCUCAACUCCGGAUCUGCGGUGGGUACGGGCAGGCUAGAGUGAUGUAGGGGAGACUGGAAUUCCUGGUGUAGCGGUGAAAUGCGCAGAUAUCAGGAGGAACACCGAUGGCGAAGGCAGGUCUCUGGGCAUUAACUGACGCUGAGGAGCGAAAGCAUGGGGAGCGAACAGGAUUAGAUACCCUGGUAGUCCAUGCCGUAAACGUUGGGCACUAGGUGUGGGGGACAUUCCACGUUUUCCGCGCCGUAGCUAACGCAUUAAGUGCCCCGCCUGGGGAGUACGGCCGCAAGGCUAAAACUCAAAGGAAUUGACGGGGGCCCGCACAAGCGGCGGAGCAUGCGGAUUAAUUCGAUGCAACGCGAAGAACCUUACCAAGGCUUGACAUGGACCGGACCGCCGCAGAAAUGUGGUUUCCCCUUUGGGGCUGGUUUACAGGUGGUGCAUGGUUGUCGUCAGCUCGUGUCGUGAGAUGUUGGGUUAAGUCCCGCAACGAGCGCAACCCUCGUUCUAUGUUGCCAGCACGUGAUGGUGGGGACUCAUAGGAGACUGCCGGGUCACUCGGAGGAAGGUGGGGACGACGUCAAUCAUCAUGCCCCUUAUGUCUGGGCUU